UACGUAGGGUGCGAGCGUUGUCCGGAUUUAUUGGGCGUAAAGAGCUCGUAGGCGGUUUGUCGCGUCGGCCGUGAAAUCUCCACGCUUAACGUGGAGCGUGCGGUCGAUACGGGCAGACUUGAGUUCGGUAGGGGAGACUGGAAUUCCUGGUGUAGCGGUGAAAUGCGCAGAUAUCAGGAGGAACACCGGUGGCGAAGGCGGGUCUCUGGGCCGAUACUGACACUGAGGAGCGAAAGCGUGGGGAGCGAACAGG
This 253-nucleotide ribosomal RNA is filed under the name uncultured bacterium. RNAcentral describes it as "partial 16S ribosomal RNA". It matches the Rfam family "Bacterial small subunit ribosomal RNA", at positions 524 to 776 of the family's 1533-position model. The record is from RNAcentral.